CUGACCACUUGAGCGUUGACCGUUUCUGAGCUUGGGUAAGCAGCGCUGGUUGUUAUGUUUUGGGGGUGUUUGGUUUUUUUUCCAAAGGCUGCUUUUGUUGUCAAGACUGGUUUUAAGAUGGUGGUUUUGGGAGGGGAAACUGUGGGUGGCGUAGGUGCCAACUCCCUGGGGCCCUGGGUGCCCGAGCACCCACAAAAUUCCCCGUGAAGGGGCUGGGCAACCACAAAUUUCAGUGCCAGGGCCAUGAAAGCUUCAUGGCUCAACACUGGAUCUGGCCUGGUGGAAGGCUCUGUCUCAUGAGACCAGGGCCCUGCAGGAUCUGAUUUCAUUCCGCAGAGCCUGUAAGACAGAAUGGUUCCACCUGGCCUUUGGCUUGGAACCAGCCUGAUCCCCUCCCCAUCUUUCCUUUUCCUUCUGUGAUCGAACCCCUAUUUGGGGACUUCCCUGGCUUUUUUCUGGCUCACUUAGGACCAGUCUGGAUAGUUGGCCUUGGUGGAAAAUUUGAUGUUUUUGAUCCGGGCUUCCACUGAAAUGAGGCUGCAUUUUAAGUUGUAUCUUAAUCCUGUUUUUAAGUUAUAUUUUAAUCCAUUGUUUUUAUACUUGAUGUUAGCCGCCCUGAGCCCGGUCUUGGCCGGGGAGGGUGGGGUAUAAAUAAAAUUAAAUAAAUAGAUAAAUGGCAAUCAUGGCCCCGGGCACUCAUGGUUUGCAGGGCCAAGUUGGUACUCCUGUUGGAUGGAACAUGGGAAGUUGCCUUAUAUACUGGCUUGGCCCAUUGGUCUAUCUAGCCUGGUAUUGCUAACACUGAUUCGCAGUGACUCUCUAGGGUUUCCGAUGGGGAGAUUUUCCAUGCCCUACUUGGAAAUGCUGGGGACUGAGCCCAGUACUUUCUUCUGCAAGUCAGGUGAUCUCCCACUGUGGUUUCAUAUUUCCCAAAGAUGAUCCAAAUGGGACAUUGCUUGUCGACAUGAAGAGGGCCGAGAGGCCAGCUGGCUAGCCCCAGCUGGGCCGUCUCCUUCCAGCCAUCCCGCUGCGUAGACCAUCACCUCUGCUCUAACGUAAAUCAGCGACCUGGCUUCAAAGCCUGGGCACACUAUCAGCAGAUUGAACUGAGCACACAGUAUAGGUGUGAGGCUUGUGGAAGCAUACUACAACUACAGAUUUAUUAACCAUAAAUCAGGACAAAGAAACAUGUCGUCUCUCUCUCUCGUCGUCUCAGAGAGAACAGCUAAAAGCAAAAGCUAUACAUACAACGGAAGUUCUCGGCUUACUGUGCUGGAAUGUAAACAGACAUGUGACACAUAACAAUCCCUUGUCUGUUCCUUAAGGUGGAAUGGAAAUGUCAACAUUGAUAUCUGACAAGGCGGAGUUAAAUGAUGACUUGCAAAGCUGUGGUUUUCCCUGAAGCAGGGAUGGGGGACCUGUGGAACUUCAGAUGUUGCUGGAGUUCAUCUCCCAUCAUCCCUGAUGGGAGCUUGAGUCCAAGGAUAUUGGACUACAACUUCCAUCAUCCCUAACCAUUGACCAAUGCUGGCCAAUGGGUUGUUGAGAGUUGGGUCCCAACUGGUGGGUUGUUGAGAGUUGGGUCCCAUCAACGUAUGGAGGGUCCUGGGCUCCUCAUUCCUGCUUUACUCCUCUGUAGGUGCAUUUAAUAUGUGAUCCCUGAUUGUUUGGGACAUGAUUGGUCAAAGGCAGGUCUACGCCAUGACUGUUCAAAGUGGUAGCAAUAGUGGUUUUCAUUCACAGUGAAUGUGACAUAGGGCAGGAGUGGAAAGUAAUGGAUUCCCUCCCAAAGAAUGCUGGGAAACGUAGUUGUUAUGAUGCUGAGAGGAGACUCCCUAUUCCCCUCAGAGAGCUACAAUUCCCAGAGUGGUUUAUCAACCCCUCCCUCUUUCCAGAGAUCUCUGGAAAUUGUGAGAGCACUUGACAAACUAUAGUUCCUACCAUUCUUUGGUGGAAGCCAUGACUUUCCUCAAAUGAUGUGAUACUUCUUCAAAUGUACAGUGCAAAUGAGGCCUAAAUAAAUAAGGUGGUUCUGGUCCCUGGUUCUUUGAAUUUCACACCGCUGAAAAUUCAUGCAUUGGGUACUAUUUUUGUUAUAUAUAUAUAUGGUAUAUGGGUAACUGUGCCCCUGAAGGCACCAGGUGCACAGCCUGGGAGUCAUUUUGGACUCACAGCUGUCCAUGGAGGCACAGGUCAAUUCUGUGUCCAGGGCAGCUGUCUACAAGCUCCAUGUGGUACGCAGGCUGAGACCCUAUCUGCCCGCGGACUGUCUCGCCAGAGUGGUGCAUGCUCUGGUUAUCUCUCGCUUGGACUACUGCAAUGCACUCUUCGUGGGGCUACCUUUGAAGGUGACCCGGAAACUGCAACUAAUCCAGAAUGCAGCAGCUAGACUGGUGACUGGGAGCGGCCGCCGAGACCACACAACACCAGUCUUCAAAGACACCGGUCUUGGCUCCCAGUACGUUUCCGAGCACAAUUCAAAGUGUUGGUGCUGACCUUUCAAGCCAUCGGUCCAGUAUACCUGAAGGAGCGUCUCCACCCCCAUCGUUCUGCCCGGACGCUGAGGUGCAGCGCCAAGGGCCUUCUGGCAGUUCCCUCACUGCAAGAAGUCAAGUUACAGGGAACCAGGCAGAGGGUCUUCUCGGUGGUGGCGCCCACCCUGUGGAACGCCCUCCCAUCAGAUGGUCAAAGAUAAGAAUAACUUCCAGACUUUAGAAGACAUCUGAAGGCGGCCCUCUUUAGGGAAGCUUUUAAUGUUUGAUGCAUUACGGUAUGUUUUGUUGGAGGCCGCCCAGUGUCUGGGAAGGCGCAGCCAGAUGGGCAGGGUAUAAAUAUUAAAUUGUUGCUGUUGUUGUUGUUGUUAUAUAUUAAAGAUCUCUCUCUUUGUCUUCUAGGCUUCUCUAAAUCAGCAGAAGAUGUCUUACCAAAGUCAGCAAUGCAAGCAAACUUGCCCACCCCCUCCUCAAUGCAAGAAGGCACCUCAGAAGUGCUGCCCCCCACCUCAGCAGUGCUGCCCCCCACCUCAGCAGUGCUGCCCCCCACCUCAGCAGUGCUGCCCCCCACCUCAGCAGUGCUGCCCCCCUCCUCAGCAGUACUGCCCCCCUCCUCAGCAAUGCUGCCCCCCUAAGCAGUGCUGCCCUCCCAAACAGGACCCCCCAUGCUGUUAAGCGACGUCUGCCACAGCCUACCCAGAGAAGUCCCCGCAAGGAGAAGGGUAGGAGGGAAGGAAUGGAAUAUGGAAGCAUGGUCUGAUAUUUAUGAUCCCAUUCGUUUUCCAUCCACCUUUGCUGUCGGCUCCAUUCUAGCAAACACUUUCCUACCUCUUUCAAAAAGGCAAGCUGAGAAGAACAGAAAAUCUGGGAAUCGAUGUAUCCAGGGCACACAGGACCCCAGCCCAUCUAGUCCCGUCAACAUCAAUGGACACUCAUCUAGUCAUCAGCUCAGAACAUCAAUAGCCAAUGGAUAUCUGUGUGUCUCACCCUGACAGACCUUGUGAGCGCUCAGCUGAAGAGUCCUGUCUGGAAAAAAACCUUCUUUGCAACCUAAUUUCCCCUAUAUUUAUUUUAUGAUGUAUCCAAAAUAGCACAUUGAAUCAUCCGAUUCACCCUUUCCCCCUUACAAUAUUUCUUUUCUUCCAAUGUAUUGCUCUGGGCUCUGACGGCAAGAUAUUAUUAAAAUUUAUGCACAAGCA
Molecule: long non-coding RNA, 3691 nt
Filed under: Podarcis lilfordi (Lilford's wall lizard)
Lineage: Eukaryota; Metazoa; Chordata; Lepidosauria; Squamata; Lacertidae
Source: RNAcentral